GAUGAACGCUGGCGGCGUGCCUAAUACAUGCAAGUCGAGCGAACGGACGAGAAGCUUGCUUCUCUGAUGUUAGCGGCGGACGGGUGAGUAACACGUGGAUAACCUACCUAUAAGACUGGGAUAACUUCGGGAAACCGGAGCUAAUACCGGAUAAUAUUUUGAACCGCAUGGUUCAAAAGUGAAAGACGGUCUUGCUGUCACUUAUAGAUGGAUCCGCGCUGCAUUAGCUAGUUGGUAAGGUAACGGCUUACCAAGGCAACGAUGCAAAGCCGACCUGAGAGGGUGAUCGGCCACACUGGAACUGAGACACGGUCCAGACUCCUACGGGAGGCAGCAGUAGGGAAUCUUCCGCAAUGGGCGAAAGCCUGACGGAGCAACGCCGCGUGAGUGAUGAAGGUCUUCGGAUCGUAAAACUCUGUUAUUAGGGAAGAACAUAUGUGUAAGUAACUGUGCACAUCUUGACGGUACCUAUCAGAAAGCCACGGCUAACUACGUG
Molecule: ribosomal RNA, 496 nt
Filed under: uncultured bacterium
Lineage: Bacteria
Description: partial 16S ribosomal RNA
Rfam family: Bacterial small subunit ribosomal RNA
Source: RNAcentral